This 497-nucleotide ribosomal RNA is filed under the name uncultured bacterium. Its description in RNAcentral is "partial 16S ribosomal RNA". It matches the Rfam family "Bacterial small subunit ribosomal RNA", at positions 28 to 507 of the family's 1533-position model. The record is from RNAcentral.
GAUGAACGCUGGCGGCGUGCCUAAUACAUGCAAGUCGAGCGAACGGACGAGAAGCGUGCUUCACUGAUGUUAGCGGCGGACGGGUGAGUAACACGUGGAUAACCUACCUAUAAGACUGGGAUAACUUCGGGAAACCGGAGCUAAUACCGGAUAAUAUUUUGAACCGCAUGGUUCAAAAGUGAAAGACGGUCUUGCUGUCACUUAUAGAUGGAUCCGCGCUGCAUUAGCUAGUUGGUAAGGUAACGGCUUACCAAGGCAACGAUGCAUAGCCGACCUGUGAGGGUGAUCGGCCGCACUGGAACUGAGAUGCGGUCCAGACUCCUACGGGAGGCAGCAGUAGGGAAGCUUCCGCAAUGGGCGAAAGCCUGACGGAGCAACGCCGCGUGAGUGAUGAAGGUCUGCGGAUCGUAAAACUCUGUUAUUAGGGUAGAACAUAUGUGUAAGUAACUGUGCACAUCUUGACGGUACCUAAUCAGAAAGCCACGGCUAACUACGUG